ACCACACCCCCAUCCGGAUGAAUUGUGUGAACCGAAUCUGCAUGUAGGAAUAAGUGAAUAACACCCCCAAUUUCCUUGAAACACGGCAACAAAUUUGUAAUUUGUUCAGGGUGCCGGCGAUAGCCAGCCUACUCUCGGUGAAGGGUACCGUUGAAUCUUCACCGUCCACCGACUAAUGCCUGCAGACGGUUGCCUCAAGCCUCGAUUUCAAUGGCGAGCUGGAGUCUCUAAGCUCCCCUGAAGAAACCACCCUGCACACUUUGCUGAAACACGUACUCGUGAUGAAAACUCACCUGUCUUGCCAUUCGAGCAGCGGAGACAACAUGCGUUGUCACACGUCCAUCUGUGGCUACCUGGCUGACAUGAGAGAAAAUAUGUGUGCACACCUGGUGUGCCGUGGCGAACAGGCCGAUGCGUGUUUGGCGAAGGCAGAGCCUGCCGCGCUGGAUAUUGACAGUCAGAGCUACAGCCAAUUGGGCAAGGGAACCAUGCACCGUGAAGUGCUGGAGAAGAUGCGGGUUUUGGCCAAGCAUUACGACCAGCUUAAGAAUGCAUGUCCUCUUUGAACAAUUGUGCUUCCAUUCCAUUCUUAAUGGAGAAACAUUUUAACAAAUAUUAUGUUGUAAAUGAAGACUAUUUAAUAUUUAUUCUCUUAAUAUAAACUAAUAAUUUAUGCUGCAUUUUCACAUGC
This 691-nucleotide long non-coding RNA is filed under the name Eptatretus burgeri (inshore hagfish). Its description in RNAcentral is "lncRNA (ENSEBUG00000017188.1)". The record is from RNAcentral. Lineage: Eukaryota; Metazoa; Chordata; Myxini; Myxiniformes; Myxinidae.